RNAcentral lists this ribosomal RNA (253 nucleotides) under uncultured bacterium. RNAcentral's name for it is "partial 16S ribosomal RNA". It matches the Rfam family "Bacterial small subunit ribosomal RNA", at positions 524 to 776 of the family's 1533-position model. The record is from RNAcentral.
GACGGAGGAUGCAAGCGUUAUCCGGAAUGAUUGGGCGUAAAGCGUCCGCAGGCGGCAGUUCAAGUCUGCUGUCAAAGACCGGGGCUUAACUUCGGAAAGGCAGUGGAAACUGAACAGCUAGAGUAUGGUAGGGGCAGAGGGAAUUCCUGGUGUAGCGGUGAAAUGCGUAGAGAUCAGGAAGAACAUCGGUGGCGAAGGCGCUCUGCUGGACCAUAACUGACACUGAGGGACGAAAGCGAGGGGAGCGAAUGGG